RNAcentral lists this ribosomal RNA (253 nucleotides) under uncultured bacterium. RNAcentral's name for it is "partial 16S ribosomal RNA". It matches the Rfam family "Bacterial small subunit ribosomal RNA", at positions 524 to 776 of the family's 1533-position model. The record is from RNAcentral.
UACGUAGGUGGCAAGCGUUGUCCGGAUUUACUGGGCGUAAAGAGCGCGCAGGCGGUCGUUCAAGUCGCGUGUGAAAGCCCCCGGCUCAACUGGGGAGGGUCACGCGAUACUGAUCGACUCGAAGGCAGGAGAGGGAAGUGGAAUUCCCGGUGUAGUGGUGAAAUGCGUAGAUAUUGGGAGGAACACCAGUGGCGAAGGCGGCUCACUGGACCGGUACUGACGCUGAAGCGCGAAAGCGUGGGGAGCAAACGGG